AUGACGGCUUCUCUGAUGGAUCUUUCAUCACCCCAUCUCCCCUCCAACUUCCAUUUCUACCCUUCUUCUUCAGCUCAGCCCUUGGGCGCUCACAAGACCGGGGAACACCAACCGCCCCUGCCCCCUCCUCCCCGGCCCCCACGGGCGACAUCCCAGACUCACUACGUCCUCCCGGCCGACCCUAGGAUCGACGGCCCAAGUUCCUAUUUUGGGAGGUUCUUUCCGGUCUGGUUAUCUCCCGCUCUCCCCCCCGCCCCGCCCUCCCCCUCAGUCUCCUUCCUGAGGUGGCAGCUCAGCCUCCAGAGAAGAGUUCGAGACUCGGAGAGAUCCCUCGGUUUCAGACCCCGCCGACGCCCCGACCCCGAAAGCCGCUGGACCCGCAAGCUGGAGAACCACAAGCUGUGACCUCCCUGACCCCCCAUCGGCCUUGGGGAUUAGCAGAAAGAGAAGGAGCAUCGCCUAGUGGAAAGGUAGGCCUGACAGGCGGCGGACCUGUGUUCUAAUUCUGAUCCACUGCCUGCUGUGGGACCCUAGGCAAGUCACUUCACUGCUCCUCCUCCCCUCCCCUUCACCUCCUUCCGCCCUCUGCUCUUCCCCCUUCCCCUCCCCUCAGCACUGUGCUUAUUUUUAUAUAUUAUUUAUCACCCUAUUUAUUUUGUUAAUGAGGUGUAUAUCUCCACGAGCCUAUUUAUCUUGAUGAUGUGGUCUUGUUUUGUUUUGUUCUGUUUUGCUUUGCUGCCUGUCUCCCCUGCUGAGACCGUGAUCCCGUCAUUGGGCAGGGAUGGUCCCUAUCUGUUGCUGAAUUGUCCAUUCCGAGCGCUUCGUACAGUGCUCUGCGCCUAGUAAGCGCUCAAUAAAUACUAUUGAAUGAAUGAACGUCACUUCUCUGGGCCUCAGUCACCUCGUCUGUAAAAUGGGGAUUAAGACUGUGAGCCCCAUGACAGACUUGAACUGUGUCCAACCCGAUUAUCUUUUAUUCAUUCAUUCACUCCUCCAAUCGUAUUUAUUGAGUGCUUACUGUGUGCAGAGCACUGUACUGAGCGCUGGGAAUGUACAAUCGGGCAACAGAGAGAGACGAUCCCUGCCCAACCACGGGUUCACCAAGGGGGAGACGGGCUCACAGUCUAAAAGGGGGAGAGAGCCGGAGCUUAGUACAGUGUCUGGCCCAUAGUAAGCGCUUGAAAGAUAGAAAGGAAAAAGAUCGAUUGAGAUAAAUUAAAAGAGAAAUUGAUCGAUUGAGAUGAAUUAAAAGACUGAGAUAAAUUAAAAGAGAAAAAAAAUGAGAGAGCGGCUGUUCCCCCGGCGUCCACAAGGCGGCGCAGUGGCCCCGCGGGACCGCACGUUCAUUCAUUCAUUCAAUAGUAUUUAUUGAACGCUUGCUAUGUGCAGAGCACUGGACUAAGCGCUUGGAAUGGACAAAUCGGCAACAGAUAGAGACAGUCCCUGCCCUUUGAUGGGCUUACAAUCUACUCGGGGAAGACAAGAACAACGGCAAUAAAUAGAGUCAAGGGGAAGAUCAUCUCAUUUAAACAAUGUACAUCUCAUUAAACAAAAUAAAUAGGGUGAUGAACCGCACGUGGUUGUCGGAUCGCGGUUUGGGCCGAACCUGCGCCGGUCGAAUCGUGAGGUUUCCUAGAUUUGGCCGGGGGUCGACCCUGGACAAUCCGUCAGUCAGACAGUCCUGUGUGCUGAGCACUGUUCUAAGCAUUUGAGAGAGUGCAAUAGAACGUAAACAGAGAGGUGAAGUGACUUGCCCCAGGUCACCGCCUCCAAGAGGCCUUCCCACAUUGAGCUUCCCCUUUUCCCUCUGCUCCCUCGCUGCCCCCCCUUCACCUCCCCUCAGCUAAGUCCCCUUUCCCUCCUUUCCCUGCUCCUCCCCCUCUCCCUUCCCCUCAGCCCUGUGCUCAUUUGGAUAUAUUUUUAUUGCCCUAUUUAUUUUAUUACCCUAUUUAUUUUGUUAAUGAGGUGUCCAUCCCCUUGAUUCUAUUUAUUGCGAUUAGGUUGUCUUGCUUUUGUCCGUCUGUCUCCCCCGAUUAGACCGUGAGCCCAUCGGUGGGCAGGGACUGUCUCUAUCUGUUGCCCAGUUGUCCAUUCCAAGCGCUUAGUACAGCGCUCUGCACAUAGUGAGCGCUCAAUAAAUACUACCGAAUGAAUGAAUUCCCUGCCCCCAGCGAGCUAAUAGUCUGGAAGGGAAGACAGACAUUAAUAGAAAUCAGUGUGACAGAUAAGGACGUAAGUGCUCUGGGGGGGAGGGGGGGCUGGGAUGGGGGAAGAGCAAAGGGAGCGAGCCAAGGUGACGCCCAAGGGAGAGGGAGAUGGAGAAAGAUGGGGCUCAGUCAGGGAAGGCCUCUGGGAGGAGGAGGGCCUUCAGUAAAGCUUUGAAGAGUCAUCGUCU
Molecule: long non-coding RNA, 2395 nt
Filed under: Ornithorhynchus anatinus (platypus)
Lineage: Eukaryota; Metazoa; Chordata; Mammalia; Monotremata; Ornithorhynchidae
Description: lncRNA (ENSOANG00000044752.1)
Source: RNAcentral